This 956-nucleotide ribosomal RNA is filed under the name marine metagenome. Its description in RNAcentral is "bacterial SSU rRNA". It matches the Rfam family "Bacterial small subunit ribosomal RNA", at positions 107 to 1097 of the family's 1533-position model. The record is from RNAcentral.
UGAGUAUAAUGUGGGUAUCUGCCUUUUGGUUUGGAAUAACACGGGGAAACUUGUGCUAAUACCGGAUAAGCCUUUACAGGGAAAGUUUUAACGCCAAAAGAUGAGCCCGCACUUGAUUAGCUAGUUGGUAAGGUAAUGGCUUACCAAGGCUACGAUCAAUAGCUGAUCUGAGAGGAUGAUCAGCCACAUUGGGACUGAGACACGGCCCAAACUCCUACGGGAGGCAGCAGUGGGGAAUCUUGCACAAUGGGGGAAACCCUGAUGCAGCGAUGCCGCGUGAGUGAAGAAGGCCUUUGGGUUGUAAAGCUCUUUCGUCGGGGAAGAAAAUGACUGUACCCGAAUAAGAAGGUCCGGCUAACUUCGUGCCAGCAGCCGCGGUAAUACGAAGGGACCUAGCGUAGUUCGGAAUUACUGGGCUUAAAGAGCUCGUAGGUGGUUAGAAAAGUUGGUGGUGAAAUCCCAAGGCUUAACUUUGGAACUGCCGCCAAAACUUUUUGACUAGAGUAUGAUAGAGGAAAGUGGAAUUUCUAGUGUAGAGGUGAAAUUCGUAGAUAUUAGAAAGAACACCGAUUGCGAAGGCAACUUUCUGGAUCAUUACUGACACUGAGGAGCGAAAGCAUGGGUAGCGAAGAGGAUUAGAUACCCUCGUAGUCCAUGCCGUAAACGAUGUGUGCUAGACGUUGGAAAUUUAGUUUUCAGUGUCGCAGCGAAAGCGUUAAGCACACCGCCUGGGGAGUACGACCGCAAGGUUAAAACUCAAAUGAAUUGACGGGGACCCGCACAAGUAGUGGAGCAUGUGGUUUAAUUCGAAGAUACGCGCAGAACCUUACCAACACUUGACAUGUUCGUCGCGAACCUAAGAGAUUAGGUUUUUCAUUCAGUUGGACGAAACACAGGUGCUGCAUGGCUGUCGUCAGCUCGUGUCGUGAGAUGUUGGGUUAAGUCCCGCAACGAGC